GGUGGGAUGUCGGAGCGGUUUAACGAGCUGGUCUUGAAAACCAGUAUCCCGCAAAACGGGAUCAGAGGUUCGAAUCCUCUUCCCACCGCCA
RNAcentral lists this transfer RNA (91 nucleotides) under Candidatus Kerfeldbacteria bacterium CG_4_10_14_0_8_um_filter_42_10. RNAcentral's name for it is "tRNA-Ser". It matches the Rfam family "tRNA". Rfam says of the family: Transfer RNA (tRNA) molecules are approximately 80 nucleotides in length. Their secondary structure includes four short double-helical elements and three loops (D, anti-codon, and T loops). The record is from RNAcentral. Lineage: Bacteria; Candidatus Kerfeldiibacteriota.